GACGAACGCUGGCGGCGUGCUUAACACAUGCAAGUCGAACGGAAAGGCCCUGCUUUUGUGGGGUGCUCGAGUGGCGAACGGGUGAGUAACACGUGAGUAACCUGCCCUUUACUUUGGGAUAACUUCAGGAAACUGGGGCUAAUACCGGAUAUGAGCUCCUGCUGCAUGGUGGGGGUUGGAAAGUUUCGGCGGUUGGGGAUGGACUCGCGGCUUAUCAGCUUGUUGGUGGGGUAGUGGCUUACCAAGGCUUUGACGGGUAGCCGGCCUGAGAGGGUGACCGGCCACAUUGGGACUGAGAUACGGCCCAGACUCAUACGGGAGGCAGAAGUGGGGAAUAUUGCAAAAUGGGCGGAAGCAUGAUGCAGCAACGCCGCGUGCGGGAUGACGGCCUUCGGGUUGUAAACCGCUUUCGCCUGUGACGAAGCGUGAGUGACGGUAAUGGGUAAAGAAGCACCGGCUAACUACGUG
RNAcentral lists this ribosomal RNA (468 nucleotides) under uncultured bacterium. Its description in RNAcentral is "partial 16S ribosomal RNA". It matches the Rfam family "Bacterial small subunit ribosomal RNA", at positions 28 to 507 of the family's 1533-position model. The record is from RNAcentral.